Molecule: long non-coding RNA, 1259 nt
Filed under: Homo sapiens (human)
Lineage: Eukaryota; Metazoa; Chordata; Mammalia; Primates; Hominidae
Description: novel transcript, antisense to PSMF1
Source: RNAcentral
AGGCCUGGUCGCCCUCCCUGUUAAUUAAAGGGGAGACUAGUUUCCAGGGCAAUUUCAGCUCUGGCCGGGCCUGUGCCCACAUCCUUAAGAGGGAGGCCAUGGUGAUGGGCCGGCUGGGCGGCUGGUGGCCUUGGAGGUAACAAUUUGUCUUGAGAUGGAAUCCACUCCCCUGAAUAAAGGGACUUUGUGUUCUCUCCCAUUCUCAUGCCCCCCUGGUCCCCAUGGAGGGAUUAGAGGGGAAACAUCUGUGGUUCCCCAAGAACAGUGACCGCCAUGGUAGGCAGCUCUUAGGCCACUGCCUGGGCCAGCAGGACUUUCUCAUGCACACUGGGCCUCUGUCUGUCCUCAGAGCUCUGCCUUCUCAUAGAAAACAUGGAUCCACGCAAUCACUGGCUCAUUCAUUUGUUCACUCAACAACUCUUUAUUGAGCAUCUACUGAUGUACCAGGUGCUCACAGGCACCGAGUGUAUGGAGGUGAAAAAGCAAAGCUCCCCCUGGUCAUGGAGCCCAUGAUCUAGUGGGGUCGACAAACCUAAAGAUAAAUAAGUCAAUCAAAUCCAUUGGCAGGCAGUCAGACAUAAAACAAGUUAGUAGAGAGAAAGUGACAGGUGGGUGGGGAUCCUCCAAGGAGGUGGCAUCUGAGCAGGGACCUGCAGGUGGAAAGGGGUGAGCUGAAAACAGUGGCACUUAGCAGGGACAGGUCAACCUCAUGCCUCCACCCCACUUUUCCUCCUCUAAGCUUUUUGGUCAAGGCUGCUCUCCACUCUCUGCCAAGCCAGCAAUGACUUAUCUGUAUUCUCCUUAAUACAUAAUUUGCUAUUUUAUUAACUGUAUCAAAUGCAUUUGUAAAACUAGAACAUGAAGCCACCUUGGCGUAUAAUGUAGGCUCUUACUCCAGUAAGAGUCACAAAACCCACAUUGCUGACACACUUCUGUCCAAUAUAAGAGGGUGCUUUUUCCAUUUAAAACUCUAAUGAAAUGGUGGCUUUAAGAUAGUAGACUAAAGACAUUUCUAUUCCUUUUCUCUUCUUAAAAAAGAAAAAAACAAACAAAAAACUUCCCCAAAACAAGAAUAAGGAGCAGAAACAAAAACUCUGUCUUUGAGGAAAUCGAGAGACAUUUGUAACCCUGAACUACAAAGGAGGGAAAUGGAUGAAGUGGCCAGUGACAUAACCGAGAGGAAGAAAGUCAAAGCUAAAUGGAUGGGGCGUUGGCGGUGUUUCUUGUGUUUUGCUGUUCUGAAUAAAGCUGCUAUGAUC